CGCAUCUGUGCAUGCAGCAUAUCAAUAAGCGGAGGAAAAGAAACUAACAAGGAUUCCCUUAGUAACGGCGAGUGAAGCGGGAAGAGCUCAAAUUUGAAUCUUCAAGGUUUUACCUUGACGAAUUGUAGUUUAAAGAAGUGUUUUCUGUUGAAGUUUUGGUAAAAGUUCUUUGGAAUAGGACAUCAUAGAGGGUGAGAAUCCCGUAUUUGACCAUUAUUUUCAGCUGUGUGAUACACUUUCAAAGAGUCGGAUUGUUUGGGAAUGCAGUCCAAAAUGGGUGGUAAAUUUCAUCUAAAGCUAAAUAUUGGCGAGAGACCGAUAGCGAACAAGUACCGUGAGGGAAAGAUGAAAAGAACUUUGAAAAGAGAGUUAAACAGUACGUGAAAUUGUCAAAAGGGAAGCGUUUGACACCAGGUGUUGUUUUCUCGAAAAUCAAUUAAAAAGAGUUAGAUUUUGUUGUGUAUUGACCUUAACAGCUUGCAUUUCAAUUUUCUUGCUUUUUUUAAUGCACUUUUCGUUUAACAAGUCAACAUCAGUUUCUUUUGUUGUAAAAAGGUCAUUGGAAGGUGGCUUUCUUUUCGGAGAAAGUGUUUAUAGCCUUUGACUCCUGCAAUCGGAGAGACUGAGGUCUGCAGCGUAGAUCCUUCGGGGUUAGAUACAUUUGUGCUAAGUUAUAGCUCUUUAUAGACAACUUGUUGACUAUGAUUAGUCUUGUAGCUUACUCGCUUAUGCUAUUUUACCUACGCUUAGGAUGUUGACGCGCGUGUGUGCGUG
This 774-nucleotide ribosomal RNA is filed under the name uncultured Neocallimastigales. Its description in RNAcentral is "partial large subunit ribosomal RNA". It matches the Rfam family "Eukaryotic large subunit ribosomal RNA", at positions 26 to 639 of the family's 3401-position model. The record is from RNAcentral. Lineage: Eukaryota; Fungi; Neocallimastigomycota; Neocallimastigomycetes; Neocallimastigales.